This 427-nucleotide long non-coding RNA is filed under the name Setaria italica (foxtail millet). RNAcentral's name for it is "long non-coding RNA (SITA_LNC005809)". The record is from RNAcentral. Lineage: Eukaryota; Viridiplantae; Streptophyta; Magnoliopsida; Poales; Poaceae.
GCGGCGCCAUUGGCGUCGUGCCCUUCUUGAAGGCGUCAUUUUUAGGGAGACAGCGCAAACAACUUUUUUCGCUUGUUGGCACGGUGUCGGAGGUUUUGUGCACGAGCAACAAAGCAAAGUCGACAUGCGGUGACAGUUUGGCGGUUUGAUGGAUACCUUGGGAAGCAGGGCAACAUUGCUCAACAUUCCGACGGCGACUAAAGAAACAGAUUCGUGAUAUGGAGUAUUGUGGCGGACGUGGCGAGGCCCCGUGCGCGGUGUGUCUUCGAAGUGACGAGAGCGAGGUGGAGUCCAACGGCGGAUGUGGCGAGGCCUCGUAUGUUGUGUUUUCAUAGCGCCGAUUGCGAGGCAGCCUACGAGAGAUCCGGAUCUGGUGGUUUCACUCUAUUGGGUGGAGUGUGGUGUUGCAGCGGCAUUACGGCGAAGG